UCCCAACAAAAAAAGAAAUAUAGCCUGAGUAGAGAAGAAAGGCAGGGGGAUCUCUCAGAGGUUUAAUUUUGUAUUGUGUUUGCCUCUAUUAUAAAAUUGUUAACAUACUCUCUCCCUCUUCUGGAAGAGUAAUGGCAAUAUUAAAGCCAGUUUUACAAUUUUCAUCCUGUGUCUAAAUCCUCCCUCAUCCUGCUGCCUUCUUCCAGGCCUGAGCUUUGCUCCAGUAUUCAUUACCCCUCUCCAACAAAUAAAACACCCCACACCUGCGAGUGGAAUUUCAUCUGGGCAGGAAAAAUGGAAACUUUGUCCUGCUGGAGAAGGGUUUGUGCAGGUCCUGCCACUCUGAGGGGCAUUGCUGCAGCAAGGAGCGAGCUGAGCACCACCAGGAUGUUAAAUUGAAUGCUCUGCACUGGCAGAGAGCUUGGAAAAUAAUGCCAGGGGGUUCAGGUUACUGCAUCAGCACUUGAAAUGUAGGCCACUGGAUCUUAACAAGGUGGAUGUUCCCUAUUCCCCUUCCCUGGCUUCUGAAAGAGCUGGGAAAAGGAAAGACCAGAAGAGCCUGCUCUCCACCCCGGUGACUUACGUGCAGCUCUCUGGAAUCCCAGAAGAUUUUCCCUCUCUGUGCUUCAGGAACAUCAGCACAGCUUGUGGAGGUGAUCCCUGGUGGGUUACAGGAGCUGAGGAGUGACACCAUCACCCCCUUGGAUAGACAGGAGACAUUCCCUGUUCUUUGGGAAGCAGAAAAUCCAUGGCAGGCAGGGAAAUGCUCACCCCCAUCCUAGGGCUGUCCUGCUGUGUGGAAAGUGAAGAGCUGAUCCUGUCUCUGCAUCAGCUGCUUUCCUACAGGCUCAGAGAUCUGGCACGGAUCCCUUGGAGGUGACAUGGAUCCCUUGGAGGUGACACAGGUCCCUUGGAGGUGACACAGAUCACCAGGAGAUGCCACGGAGGAUGAGCCCAGCAGCUCCCAGAGGGCAGGGUUCAAGGAGACCUCCAGAGCAGGAAUUCCAAACACAUCGUCCCACCUCGAAAUGCUCCAGGCAGAUUUGCUGAGGAGGAGCCUCGUGUCAGGACCCAGCUGGGAGGACAUGACCCAAGCUGUCUAAAUUUGUCAUGGCAGGGGAGGUGUCGGAAAGCAGAGCUCGCCUGCUCCGGGCAGGACACAAUGCUGGAAAAAGGAGCAUCGGGUUCAGCUGAUUGUUUACAGUCUCCUAGAGACCAGGGGCUGGGAGUUUUGGAGGGAUGGGCACUGAAAUGAAGACAACAGAUGCAGCUGGGCAGGACUGGCUGAGAUGGGGUCACUUCAGUCUAAUAUCCACUAUUAAUUCCCUUUUUCCUUGCAGCAGUGUGGGUUAUGGCAGGGAUUCAGCUGCAGGAUCAGACCAGGAUGGGUAAUUAAUUUUCCUACCCCUCAAACCCAACACCAGAGCCCCUGUUUUUUUGUAAUAUGAACUUGAAAGGAUGUAGCUAAAAUAAGGAAGGAAGUCAUAUUAAAAGAACGUUCCUGAAAA
Molecule: long non-coding RNA, 1508 nt
Organism: Cyanistes caeruleus (blue tit)
Lineage: Eukaryota; Metazoa; Chordata; Aves; Passeriformes; Paridae
Source: RefSeq, a predicted model, not a curated record